This 402-nucleotide unclassified non-coding RNA is filed under the name soil metagenome. Its description in RNAcentral is "partial contains 5.8S ribosomal RNA, internal transcribed spacer 2, and large subunit ribosomal RNA". The stretch from base 1 to 121 matches the Rfam family "5.8S ribosomal RNA", at positions 35 to 154 of the family's 154-position model. The record is from RNAcentral.
GAUGAAGAACGUAGCGAAAUGCGAUAAGUAAUGUGAAUUGCAGAAUUCAGUGAAUCAUCGAAUCUUUGAACGCACCUUGCGCCCUUUGGCUAUUCCGAAGGGCAUGCCUGUUUGAGUAUCAUGAACACCUCAACUCUCAUGGUUUGCCAUGAUGAGCUUGGACUCUGGGGGUCUUGCUGGCCUAUGGUCAGCUCCUCUCAAAUAAAUCAGCUUGCCAGUGUUUGGUGGCAUCACAGGUGUGAUAACUAUCUACGCUUGUGGUUUUCCAUCAGGUAACCUUCAGUGAUGGAGGUUCGCUGGAGCUCAUAAAUGUCCCUCCUCAGCGAGGACAGCUCUUUGAACGUUUGAUCUCAAAUCAGGUAGGACUACCCGCUGAACUUAAGCAUAUCAAUAAGCGGAGGA